This 253-nucleotide ribosomal RNA is filed under the name uncultured bacterium. Its description in RNAcentral is "partial 16S ribosomal RNA". It matches the Rfam family "Bacterial small subunit ribosomal RNA", at positions 524 to 776 of the family's 1533-position model. The record is from RNAcentral.
UACGGAGGGAGCAAGCGUUACUCGGAAUUAUUGGGCGUAAAGGGCGCGUAGGCGAUUCGACAAGUCAACUGUGAAAGCCCAGGGCCUAACCCUGGAAGUGCAGCUGAUACUGUUGAAUUUGAGUUCCGGAGAGGAAGGCAGAAUUCCCGGUGUAGCGGUGAAAUGCGUAGAUAUCGGGAGGAAUACCAGUGGCGAAGGCGGCCUUCUGGACGGAUACUGACGCUGAGGCGCGAAAGCUAGGGGAGCAAACGGG